Molecule: long non-coding RNA, 1629 nt
Filed under: Sus scrofa (pig)
Lineage: Eukaryota; Metazoa; Chordata; Mammalia; Artiodactyla; Suidae
Description: lncRNA (ENSSSCG00030016181.1)
Source: RNAcentral
CUUUUCAUUGUAAGCUUCACUGCAGUGCAUAUCCUCUCAUUAUAUCUUGCACCUGUUAGUUUUUACAUGACUAUAUCACCACAGGACUGAGGAUAUAUUUGCCCUAAAAUCAGAAAUGUUCUUCGUAUUUCCUCCUCAACCACCUGUUUCUCAGCUGCCGAGGUCUAAGUGGUGAGAGGAUGGCAGUCUUUUGCAUUUUAGAGUAGCACAUCUACCAGUGAGCACAAAUCAAACUGCAAAGAAAGGGGAUUGGAGCUGAGAUCCAGAAAACCAAAGAGGUUUUUGUAAAGGCAACAGAAAAACUGAGAAAGACAAGUGAUAACUAUGGGCUGAGAAUUAUAGUGAAGAGUUAAAUCUGAUUUGAGUCUACAACAAGCUACAGGUAACAUGUAUAUGGCAAGGGUAAAAUACUAUUCUCUGUGGAAAUUAUGGAAACUUUUAAAGAAACAUACCCAGUAGAAAUAUUUCUCAUCAGGAAUAAUAUCAACAAUAUACUUUUAUCUUUGAUCAUGGAUCAUUUCUCUUAUGAUCAGCCCCCACUGAUCCACAGUUGAAGGUCAUGUCCUUUUAUCAAGGCCUUUACCAUUAAUUGCAGAUUAUCCUGCAAUUCUUUGCUUCUAAGUUUGCAGUUUACCAUGAAUUGCAGAUUAUUUUACAAUUCUUUGUUUUCAAGUUUGCACCAGUUUGAAAAUAGAGUCUUAGCUAACGUCUAAAGGGAUUUUCUUUCCUUCAACAUGCUUUAGAAAUUGCUGAUGAUUUGUUGUUCUUUACUCCAGAACUCUCCAUUUGGGUGGCCCUGUGGCUCUGUGUCUCUCUGUAUGCUCUUUGCUGGGAGCCCGUUUAGCUCUGGAAAUGCUAGCUGUAGCCUCUAUAAACUGCUGUUUCUCCAAUCUGCCUGCUCUCUUCUACUCAGCUGCCUCACAGCCCUAUGGUAAUGGGAAAGAUUUUCGCAGUUCCUGGCUAUUUUCAAGAAAAGAGGAGUAAUUUGCAGAUUAGUCUGUGAUAAAAAAAAUAGUCUGCCUCACUGCAGAUACUCUGUGCUAAGGUUUUAAAGGUUGUGGUUAGAGACCUAUGGGUCCUGAAACCUGCAAAGAAUAUGAAUCCCUGCUUGAAAAAUUUUUAAUGAGUGAUAACUGGGUUUUGACAUAUGACACACUUCUUAUUUUAGAUCAUGAUGAAAACAUCUUUGAAAUUACUCUUUUAUUUAUUUAAUGUAUAAGUUACUUUAACGUAUAAACUAUUUAAGUAUCCAACUACUGGCAGAUAUUUGAGCUUUUACUCUUUAGAUUUUCAUGCUCACUGUUGUGGGUAUCUAUGUUGAAGUGAACCAUUGAAACAACUGGAUAAGAAUUGUGAAUGAAAGGAGUUCCUGUCGUGGUGCAGUGGUUAAUGAACCCAACUAGUAUCCAUGAGGAUGCGGGUUCCAUUCCUGGCCUUUCUCAGUGGGUUGGGGAUCUGGUGUUGCUGUGAGCUGUGGAAUAGGUCACAGACACGGCUCAGAUCCUGUGUUGCUGUGGCUGUGGUGUAGGCUGGCAGCUGGAGCUCCAAUUCAACCCCUAGCCUGGGAACCUUCAUAUGCCUCGGGUGUGGCCCUAAAAAGACAAAAAAAAAAAAAAAAAAAAAAAAAAA